This is a long non-coding RNA of Impatiens glandulifera, 161 nucleotides long. RefSeq lists it as uncharacterized. The transcript has 3 exons. The record is from RefSeq and is a predicted model, not a curated record. Lineage: Eukaryota; Viridiplantae; Streptophyta; Magnoliopsida; Ericales; Balsaminaceae.
GGUGGACUCACGACCUUCAUCUAUCCUUUCUCAAUGCUCUUCAAAUCCUUCAUCACCAACAAAUUAAAGCAACUCCUAAAUUACUUCUUCAAUCCAUGAAUGUAAAAGGACUUACCAUUUCUCAUAUUAAAAGUCACCUCCAGAUGUAUCGCAACAAGAAG